UACGUAGAGAGCAAGCGCUGUCCGGAAUCAUUGGGUGUAAAGGGUACGCAGGCGGUCUAUUAAGUCAGAGGUGAAAUCCAACAGCUCAACUGUUGAACUGCCUUUGAUACUGGUAGACUUGAGGAUAAGAGAAGAAAACGGAAAUUCCUAGUGUAGCGGUGAAAUGCGUAGAUAUUAGGAAGAAUACCGAUGGCGAAAGCAGUUUUCUAACUUAUUCCUGACGCUCAGGUACGAAAGCUAGGGUAGCAAACGGG
Molecule: ribosomal RNA, 254 nt
Filed under: uncultured bacterium
Lineage: Bacteria
Description: partial 16S ribosomal RNA
Rfam family: Bacterial small subunit ribosomal RNA
Source: RNAcentral